Molecule: long non-coding RNA, 1012 nt
Filed under: Equus caballus (horse)
Lineage: Eukaryota; Metazoa; Chordata; Mammalia; Perissodactyla; Equidae
Description: lncRNA (ENSECAG00000059127.1)
Source: RNAcentral
ACCCCACUCUCCAGCCUCAUCACUGUGGGGCCAUUGGUACAGCCCCCCCCCCCCACUUUCCCGAUGGAGAAACUGAGGCCCAGACAGGGGGCCCUCACUCCAAGCUACACAGGUGGUGGCAGAGUUGGAAGGACGUGUCCAUCGAGACAGGCGGCUGUGAAGUCGAGUUUGUCCCCCUCCUGCUGCCAGUCCCUCAGCAGAGCAUCUCCUGGGGGACCGCCGGCCACGGGGCAGCGGAAGAGGGAUGCCGGAGAGUGCCCCAUUGGUCACGUCCACUGGCAACUCGGCUGGAGGCAGGACAGUCCUGCCACACGCCCAGAAGGGUUGAGGCCAGCCCUGAGGACAGCACAGCUCGGAGCCCGGGGUCCCCCCCUCCAGGCCGCCGGCAGUGCCCAGGGCCUGGCCCUCCCUGUGAGGUGCGGGCGCCUCCCAGUCUGACAUUCUGUGACAAAACCAAUUCCUGCGUGUGUCCUGCGGUCACAGCUCCCUGUCAGCGCCGGCUCCGGCCAUCGCGGCCACGGUGGCCCAGCUCUCCCAUCUGUCCAGCGGGGACGGCGGCGGCCUCCCGCUCGGGGUCCCGAGAGAGGACGGAGGGGACUGAGCUCGCGGCGCUGAGCAGGACGCGGGCUGAGCACCAGCCGCACGAUCGGAGCCGCCGGGCGUUGGGAAGCCCCUGCCGGUGGACGCCGUGAGCACCUGCUGCCACCCGCAUGAGCCCUAAGGGUUUAGGAAGGAUUGUCCCCGUUUUUCUGGCUGGAAACUGAGAUUUGGAGGCGGCACAGACAUUGCCCGAGGAAGCCAGCAAGGACCCAGCCGAGAUUCGAACCCUGCGCCAGAAGCCCCCAGCUGUCUUGCGCAGGCGCAGUCUUGGGUGCCAGAUCUUGGGGUGAAGCCCGGCGCCUUCCCAGCAUCGGGGCGGGGGCCGAGGAGAUGCCCCGACUGGACCGAGGACUCGGGUGGACCCCCUCCCUCGGGCCUCAGCUUCUCCCCCGAGACGACGCCUGCGCAGAGG